This 1695-nucleotide ribosomal RNA is filed under the name Chaetodon modestus (brown banded butterflyfish). Its description in RNAcentral is "16S ribosomal RNA". It matches the Rfam family "Bacterial large subunit ribosomal RNA". Lineage: Eukaryota; Metazoa; Chordata; Actinopteri; Chaetodontiformes; Chaetodontidae. The record is from RNAcentral.
AGCUUAUCAGCUAGUCCCUCUAACCAAAAACAAAACCCCUUCCCACAUUAAUAUUUCACUUAAUACCCCCUAAUACACGUAAUUAUACUAAACAAAACAUUUUUCCCCUUAAGUAUAGGAGAUAGAAAAAGAACCCUGGAACGACAGAAAAAGUACCGCAAGGGAAUGCUGAAAGACACAUGAAAUAGGAUCGCAAGCCCAGAAAAGCAGAGAUUUAAGCUCGUACCUUUUGCAUCAUGAUUUGGCUAGAAAGCUCCGAGCAAAGAGCACUUUAGUUCGACUUCCCGAAACUAAGUGAGCUACUCCAAGACAGCCUAUUAAAGGGCAAACCCGUCUCUGUUGCAAAAGAGUGGGAAGAGCUUCGAGUAGCGGUGACAGACCAAUCGAACUUAGUUAUAGCUGGUUGCCUGAGAAUUGAAUAGGAGUUCAGCCUUUUGGCUUCUUCACUCCCGCUCCCCCCGGACGCCUAAAGAAACCAAAAGAGUUAGUCAAAGGGGGUACAGCCCCUUUGAUAUAAGAUACAACUUUACUCAGGAGGAUAAAGAUCAUAAUUAAAUAAGGCAAAGAGUUUUGGUGGGCCUAAGAGCAGCCAUCCCUUUAGAAAGCGUUAAAGCUCAAACUCAUCUCCCCGCCCCCUAUUCUGACAAUUUAAUCUUAAUCCCCUAAAACUACCAGGCCUCUCCAUGCAACCAUGGAAGAGAUUAUGCUAAAAUGAGUAAUAAGAAAGCAAUCCGGCUUUCUCCUACCACAAGUGUAAAUCGAACCGGACUCACCACCGAAUAUUAACGGUCCCAAGCAAAGAGGGUAUUGGAUAAUUACCUUAAUCACCUAGAAAAACCCCCAAUAUAAACCGUUACCCCUACACUGGUGUGGCUUCAAGGAAAGACUAAAAGAAAGAGAAGGAACUCGGCAAAUAAAAGCCUCGCCUGUUUACCAAAAACACCGCCUCUUGCAAAAUUAAUGAAUAAGAGGUCCCGCCUGCCCUGUGACUAUAUGUUUAACGGCCGCGGUAUUUUGACCGUGCGAAGGUAGCGCAAUCACUUGUCUUUUAAAUGAAGACCCGUAUGAAUGGCACAACGAGGGCUUAACUGUCUCCUCUUUCCAGUCAAUGAAAUUGAUCUUCCCGUGCAGAAGCGAGAAUAAUAACAUAAGACGAGAAGACCCUAUGGAGCUUUAGAUAUAAAGCAGACCAUGUUAAAUACCCUAAAAUAAUAGACUAAACUCGAUGGUUCCUGCCCUAAUGUCUUUGGUUGGGGCGACCGCGGCGAAAUAAAUAACCCCCGCGAAGAAAGAGGGUUCUUCCCUCCAAACCAAGAGCUACCGCUCUAAUGAACAGAAUAUCUGACUAUAUAAGAUCCGGCAUUGCCGAUCAACGGACCGAGUUACCCUAGGGAUAACAGCGCAAUCCCCUUCUAGAGCCCAUAUCGACAAGGGGGCUUACGACCUCGAUGUUGGAUCAGGACAUCCUAAUGGUGCAGCCGCUAUUAAGGGUUCGUUUGUUCAACGAUUAAAGUCCUACGUGAUCUGAGUUCAGACCGGAGUAAUCCAGGUCAGUUUCUAUCUAUGAUAUACUUUUUUCUAGUACGAAAGGACCGAAAAAAGGAGGCCCCUGCUUCCGGUAUGCCUCUCCCUCACCUAAUGAAAACAACUAAAAUAGGUAAAGGGGUAUAGCCUUAAUAACUAAGACAAUGUUAU